CUACGUAGGGUGCAAGCGUUAAUCGGAAUUACUGGGCGUAAAGCGUGCGCAGGCGGUUUUGUAAGACAGAGGUGAAAUCCCCGGGCUCAAACUGGGAACUGCCUUUGUGACCGCAAGGCUAGAGUACGGCAGAGGGGGAUGGAAUUCCGCGUGUAGCAGUGAAAUGCGUAGAUAUGCGGAGGAACACCGAUGGCGAAGGCAAUCCCCCGGGCCUGUACUGACGCUCAUGCACGAAAGCGUGGGGAGCAAACAGGAUUAGAUACCCUGGUAGUCCACGCCCUAAACGAUGUCAACUGGUUGUUGGGUCUUCAUUGACUCAGUAACGAAGCUAACGCGUGAAGUUGACCGCCUGGGGAGUACGGCCGCAAGGUUGAAACUCAAAUGAAUUGGCGGGG
RNAcentral lists this ribosomal RNA (395 nucleotides) under uncultured bacterium. Its description in RNAcentral is "partial 16S ribosomal RNA". It matches the Rfam family "Bacterial small subunit ribosomal RNA", at positions 523 to 918 of the family's 1533-position model. The record is from RNAcentral.